GCGUUGUCCGGAAUCACUGGGCGUAAAGGGCGCGUAGGUGGCAUGAUAAGGGUGUGGUGAAAGCCCGGGGCUCAACCCCGGGUCGGCCAUGCCGACUGUCACGCUAGAGUACUGUAGGGGCAGGCGGAAUUCCGGGUGUAGCGGUGGAAUGCGUAGAGAUCCGGAGGAAGACCGGUGGCGAAGGCGGCCUGCUGGGCAGUUACUGACACUGAUGCGCGACAGCGUG
This 226-nucleotide ribosomal RNA is filed under the name uncultured bacterium. RNAcentral describes it as "partial 16S ribosomal RNA". It matches the Rfam family "Bacterial small subunit ribosomal RNA", at positions 538 to 763 of the family's 1533-position model. The record is from RNAcentral.